AUGGCGGCCCGGUGGCUGUUGUUGCUUCUUCUUGGCCUCGUCGGUGGCGGAAGUGUUUUUAAUGUCCAUGGCCAAGUCGAUAACUUAGGUUUCAUAAGCAUCGACUGCGGCCUGCCGGAGAGUGCCGCCGGCUACAUCGACAACGCCACCAAGAUCUCGUACGCAUCGGACGCUGUCUUCACCGACGCCGGCACUAACCACAACCUGUCGGCCGAGUACAUGUCGGCACCCAUGGGCAAGAGCUGGUACACAGUGCGGAGCUUCACCUCUGCCGCCGGCGAGCGCAACUGCUACACGCUUGGCUCCCUCGUAGUAGGGCUCAAGUACCUCAUCCGCGCCAAGUUCAAGUACGGAAACUAUGACGGGCUCAACAGGCCGCCUAUCUUCGACCUCCACGUCGGCAUCAACUAUUGGCAGACCGUCAACAUAUCGGACGCCGACACGCCAGAGAUCUACGAGAUUAUCACCGUUGUCCCCGACGACUAUGUGCAGGUGUGCCUGGUGAACACCGGCGCAGGGACGCCCUUUAUAUCCAGCCUGGAUCUGAGGCCGCUCAAGAACAAGCUGUACCCGCAAGCAGACGGGUCACAGGGACUGGUUCUUGUCGCCAGGGCCAACUUUGGCGCAGGCGAUACUACACUCGUCAGGUACCCUGAUGAUCCGCACGACCGUAUAUGGAUGCCGUACAACAAGCCCAAGUGGUCGGUGAUCUCAACGACCAGAAAUGUGCAGAACGUCGACAAGGACUUGUUCGAGGCGCCGUCCGCCCUGAUGCAGACUGCCAUCACGCCCAUCAACUCCUCUAGCCCCAUCGACUUCACAUGGGAUGCCCAAUCCACCACCAACGAUCCAGUGCCUGGGUACGUCUGCAUUCUCUACAUUGCAGAGCUACAGCACCUUCCCAACAACGUCACCCGCCAGUUCUACGUCACUCUCAACGGCAAGCUCUGGUACGCGGAAACGCACGGUGCCUACACGCCGCAGUACCUCUACACCAACGCCAUCUACAACCCCAAACCUGACUAUGCCUCCCACCAAUACAACAUCUCACUAGACGCCACCGAUAAUUCGACUCUUCCACCGAUCAUCAAUGCGGCCGAAAUCUACUCUGUCAUCUCCACAACCCGCAUAGCCACGAGGGCUCAGGAAAUUCCUGCCAUAUCGACGAUCAGAGACAAGUACCAAGUGAAGAAGAACUGGAUGGGUGAUCCAUGCAUGCCCAAUAAUUUCGCUUGGAAAGGAUUGCGCUGUAGCUAUGCUGUUUCUAGCCCACCAAUCAUCAUAGGCCUGAAUUUAUCUUCGAGUGGUCUGAGUGGCAACAUCUCAUCUUCAUUUGCUAGUCUAAAAGGUUUACAAUACUUAGAUUUGUCAGGCAACAAUCUGACGGGCUCCAUUCCAGACGCUCUUUCCCAAUUGUCCUCACUCAAACUUCUAGAUUUGACAGGUAAUCAGCUCAGUGGAUCAAUUCCUUCUGGACUUCUUAGAAGAACCCAAGAUGAGUCCUUAACACUUAGAUAUGGUAAUAAUACAAAUCUCUGCAGUAACGGAAACUCCUGUCAGCCUCCCAAAAAGACGAGCAGCUCUAUGGUUGCUGUCUAUGUUGCAAUUCCUAUAUUUCUGGUACUUAUGGUUGUGCUUCUCGCCGUACUACUCCUUUGCAUGCGAAGGAGAAAGCAAGGAACAACAACCAAUAGUGUAAGGCCGCAAAACGAGGCAAUUAACAACAAUGGACACACCUCACUGCGACUCGAGAAUCGCAGAUUCACGUACAAUGAAUUGGAGGCCAUCACGAACGGCUUCCAGCGAGUGGUCGGCCGAGGAGGGUUUGGGAAAGUCUAUGAUGGUUUCUUGGAGGAUGGCACCCAAGUGGCUGUCAAAUUGCGGUCAGAAUCAUCCAACCAAGGUGUACAAGAAUUUUUGGCAGAGGCUCAGACCUUGGCUAAGAUUCAUCACAAGAAUCUUGUGUCCCUGUUUGGGUACUGCAAGGAGAGGGAGUACAUGGCUCUUGUAUAUGAGUACAUGUCUGAAGGAGCCCUAGACGAACAUCUUAGAGGGAGAGAAAACAGCAGAAGAACUUUAACCUGGAGACAAAGACUUCUUAUCGCCAUGGAAUCAGCACAAGGGCUUGAGUAUUUGCACAAGGGGUGCAAUCCGCCCCUCAUUCACAGGGACGUGAAGACAUCCAACAUUCUGCUGAAUGCAAAGUUGGAGGCCAAAAUCGCUGAUUUUGGCCUGCUCAAGGCUUUCAAUAACGACUGUGAUACCCACGUGUCCACGGCUAGGGUGAUUGGGACACCCGGUUACCUUGAUCCUGAGUACAACGCUACGUUUCAGUUGACCAACAAGAGUGACGUGUUCAGCUUCGGUGUAGUGCUACUUGAGAUAGUCACGGGGAAACCACCCCUCCUGAACAAUCCAGAGUCAAUGAGCAUCAUCCACUGGACACGUCAGCGCCUUGCCCGUGGCAAUAUUGAGGAUGUAGUGGACACACGCAUGCACGACGACCAUGAUGUCAACGGCGUAUGGAAAGUCGCUGACACUGCACUCAAGUGCACUGCCCAGGCGGCGGAGCAGCGACCCUCAAUGACCGAGGUGGUGGCGUUGUUGCAUGAGUGCCUUGAGCUUGAGGCUGCGCAUAACCACAUGAAUGCAGGGUUCUACACAGCUGGUAGUGGUGGUAACGCGGAUGGCUACAGUGGAUACGACACUGGCAUGUCGACUGAUGUGAGUCAAAGCAGCUCUGCAUUUGAGAUGGAAUAUUUGGGCAGAGUACCAACAAUGUCUACAGGUCCAGCGGUGAGGUGA
RNAcentral lists this ribosomal RNA (2805 nucleotides) under Triticum aestivum (bread wheat). RNAcentral describes it as "partial small subunit ribosomal RNA". Lineage: Eukaryota; Viridiplantae; Streptophyta; Magnoliopsida; Poales; Poaceae. The record is from RNAcentral.